Molecule: long non-coding RNA, 2597 nt
Organism: Cimex lectularius (bed bug)
Lineage: Eukaryota; Metazoa; Arthropoda; Insecta; Hemiptera; Cimicidae
Exons: 3
Source: RefSeq, a predicted model, not a curated record
CAGUAUCGUAAUAACCGCAAUUCAUAGAGGUUCGCCACACUCGGGAGGCAGACAACGCCACAAUGGCCAUAGUAAAAACCUAUUCGACGAAAUUGGAUCGUUUACGACGUUGCAUUUGGUGUGGUAGUAUUUUAUAUAAAUUACACGUCUGGGAUGAGCGUCUAGCCCACAACGUUGGGCACUGUAAUUAGAAAACGCUUUCGUGGCUAUCGACAAUUCAAGUGCGGAAGAAUGUUAUAAUUGGUGAUGAACCUGUGGUGAAUCUGAAAAAGGCGUAGUAAAACAUCAUGUUGACAGGGAUAUAAGCAGGGUGAGGCAUGACGGAAAUACUAUGAAAAUUGAAUUGUAAUAACAGGUUGGACAUGGAAAUAGCAGGAAUAGACGGACCCAUGAGACAGCUGGUGAGGGAUGGUUAGGAGACACUCUAGUCCUAACUGUCCCUCCCUCCAAACAGCUAUUAGCAUCUUACCCAUAGAUUACAGUUUCUGGUUUACCUAUUUAAUCGGCUUCAGACACAAAGAAACUACAUCAAAAGAGUUAAACGUUUAGGUUGAAAAAUACUCCGGAGAAGAUUGACAAACGAAACAGCAGGUUUUUUAAUUUCUCACAAGUUUUUUUAAACUUAAUAUAAAAUUUUUAUUUUUAUCAUCAACCAUGCCACAUUCGCUUCCAGCGUAAACUCCUUAGUAUGGCCGUCAAUAGGCGAGUUGCACUGUGAACAUGACGUGAAGACAAACAAGUAAGCAGCAAUUUUACUUUGACUUGAUAGCCGUUAUGCAAUGUUUAAAUGACUUGAGUUUUUUUAUCAGACAUGGGUUCACAAGAUUCCAAAAUCCACAACUCAUGCGUCCUCUUUGGUUAAAGUCUGCACAAAAGUGGGAUAAUCCUGGUUAAUUUGGCAUCAUCCCAAGUGUUCAUUCAAGGACACGUUUAAGCUUUUUUUACUUUGAGCAUUUUGUAUCGGUUAUCUUUGACUUUGCCAAAAGAAAAAAAAAAUUCUGGCCAAGCUUGCAUCUCUAAGCAAAAUUCAUUUUAGUAUGUGUAAACGUAAAAAAAAAUUGUUCUCCUGUAUCUCUCUUUUAAUAAUUAAGCAGCAAAAAUAUACUCUAUUCGAUUCCAUUUGUUAAAAAAUGGCUUUUUAACGUGUAUUUAAUUAUUUUAUUUAUGGAUAUUGGUACAAAAAUAUACAGCAAAUAGAGUAGUUAUAUACAAUAAAAAAAUUUAAAAGAAUUAUUGUUUGUUCUGAAUAAAUGCCAAAUGAGACAAUAUCUGACACUAUUUAUUACAGCUUAAUGCAGUAACAAUUUGAACAUUUAAAUUUCUGCGGAACCACGAUUUUUAUUUUUUAUGUUACUGAUAAGUAUUUUUUACAUCGAGUGCAACAUUAUAAUAUGAACUAGAGUUUGGUUAGAACAACAUUUCGGAUUAGUAUUUUAGAUGGUAUCUAGACCCCAAUUUUAAAGUAUGAUAUUUUAGAAAUUUUGUUAAGGGACAAUCUACUUCAAAGUUUAAUAUUCGUUUAUUUAUAUAUAUAGUUUAAAGUUAAUGAUUUCUAUUUUUUAACAGAGAUAGGACAGAAAAUAUCUUGUUACUUUCGAUCUAAUGGACAAUUAUAAACGCAUGACAUAAAGUAUUAGUACAUCUAAUCGUUAAAAACUAGACUGUCGAGAUUGAGUAAACGUGUUGAAGAUGAUGGACUGACUAGAUGAGGAAGAGUUGCUCAACUCAGGCGAAGAAAGCUUACUCCGUUCUCCGGUGUCGAAAGGAAAUUUCCCAUUCGCAUUUUCAAAUAGCUGUUGUCUAGUAAAAUUUCCAAAUGAAAGAAUACAUCGCUUUCUCUCGACUUGAGAAUAUUUUAUACCUUGUAAAAACACCAUAUGCUUACGUUCAUUAUGGUUUCUUUAAAUUGAAUUUGAACUGGACGAUGCCAAAAAUAAAUUACUUCCUGAUAUCAGUUUGAUACAGUGUCUUUCGAUUGAAGUCUUAAAUUAGGCACCCCGGGCCGUCUUGCUUUCCAACAGUUUUAUAUAAAAGAUGAUGACUCAACAGCAGGAAAUUUUGGGCCGGUUAAUUUAUUAUAACGAUGAAAGAAGAAAGUGUCUUCUUUGCUCUCACUCGGUCCAACCUUGACGCGCCGUGGCACCAGUUUCCCUUUCAGUUGAAGCGAAAGUAGUACUUUCUACCCCACCUUUCCAUAGAACCCCUUGACGAGACAUUUUUCCACCGGUAAAGUUCACACCGGCUGGAGAAUUCGUGGCCAAGGAGUUGAUUUCCUCGCCGGCCUGGAACUUCCCAAUUCGAAAGCCAUGCCCUGGGGCUACCAGGUUGGAAGGCGAUCGGUCAGAGUCGUUCCUAAUGUGCACGUUCUUCGGUAACGAACUCAUUAUUCUACAAAUUUAGAUUUACGGAUUAAACAUUGAACCAAUUCAACUCCCGUUUCUGUUACCACAACACAACAACAUUGAUAUUUGUUCUGUUCGACAUUUAUUUAGCCGAUUAGUUGCAGUUUUACUAGUUGUUAAAAUGUUCUUUUCACACACAACAUUAUUUUUAAAAUUGUAAUAACCCAAUCUCAUUAAAUAACACAAGAACACGCG